CAAUUUCAUUGAUUUGAAUGUGAAAUUUAUAAUCUGAUAUCAUUUGCCUUCAUAUAUCGUCGUUUUAAUUAAGUUAUUCAUAAAGACUGGUUGACAAAGUUCGUUACCAGAAAUCAAAGUCUGACAAAGAUGACGACCUUUCUUCUGAUGGUGUUAUAACCGACAUGGGAUAUUGCCUGGAAAGAUGGAAUGGAAUGAUAUGUGAGGCAAUGCUGGGUGAUCGGUUCUGAAGAU
Molecule: long non-coding RNA, 234 nt
Organism: Corticium candelabrum
Lineage: Eukaryota; Metazoa; Porifera; Homoscleromorpha; Homosclerophorida; Plakinidae
Exons: 3
Source: RefSeq, a predicted model, not a curated record